CAAGGAAUUUUGCGCAAUGGGCGAAAGCCUGACGCAGCAACGCCGCGUGAGGGAAGAAGGCCUUCGGGUUGUAAACCUCUUUUUUCAGGGAAGAAUAAUGACGGUACCUGGAGAAUAAGCCUCGGCUAACUACGUGCCAGCAGCCGCGGUAAUACGUAGGAGGCGAGCGUUAUUCGGAUUUACUGGGCGUAAAGAGGGCGUAGGCGGCCUUUCAAGUCGGAUGUGAAAUCUCCCGGCUUAACUGGGAGGGGUCAUCCGAUACUGUUGGGCUUGAGGGCAGCAGGGGAAAGUGGAAUUCCCGGUGUAGUGGUGAAAUGCGUAGAUAUCGGGAGGAACACCAGUGGCGAAGGCGGCUUUCUAGGCUGUUUCUGACGCUGAGGCCUGAAAGUGUGGGGAGCGAACAG
Molecule: ribosomal RNA, 404 nt
Filed under: uncultured bacterium
Lineage: Bacteria
Description: bacterial SSU rRNA
Rfam family: Bacterial small subunit ribosomal RNA
Source: RNAcentral